GGCAGGCCGAGAACCGAGGCCCGGGGGCAGUCAAGCUACCACUAAUAAAUGAGAUUAAGGUUGGCAGUGGUGGAGAGACGGACACCGUGUGGUUUUGCAGGCAAACCUAGCCACAUUUUUAAAGGAAGCAAAGACAUCUGGUGUGCGUGUGGGAGGUGCCCCGUGAAACUUGGAAGCAUUGCAGAGGUGAAUAGGGACAGAAUGGGAGCUGCCAAGUGCAUGGAGUGCUGCUGCUCUGCUUCUGCCUCUUAAGCAGUUACAGAGUGCUCUUGGAUUUCCAUCAUUUGCUUCUACCUCUCUUGUUGGAAUAAGGAUUUAAGAAAAAGGACAGGAUUGUGAGUCAUGGAAAUCACUGAUGUUGAGUUUCCAGAAAGUGCUUUCCGACCUUCCGUCUGAGUCUUGCUCCACCACAGUGAAGAGCACAGGACCUCACACACUAUAUGUGCCUGGUUUAUUUUGGAGGGAAGUAUAUUCCAUAAUCACAAUAAUACAAUGCUUUCAUAUUUCCUUCUGGUGCUGGCUUUACAUUCACAUGGCUUCGUUCAUUUUUCUCUAUGAGAGAGGU
Leptonychotes weddellii (Weddell seal) is the source of this 565-nucleotide non-coding RNA. The record is from RefSeq and is a predicted model, not a curated record. NCBI's taxonomy places the organism in Eukaryota, Metazoa, Chordata, Mammalia, Carnivora, Phocidae.